RNAcentral lists this ribosomal RNA (494 nucleotides) under uncultured bacterium. RNAcentral describes it as "partial 16S ribosomal RNA". It matches the Rfam family "Bacterial small subunit ribosomal RNA", at positions 28 to 507 of the family's 1533-position model. The record is from RNAcentral.
GACGAACGCUGGCGGCGUGCUUAACACAUGCAAGUCGAACGGUGAAGCGCCUUCCUUUUUGGUGGGUGUGGAUGAGUGGCGAACGGGUGAGUAACACGUGAGUAACCUGCCCCCUUCUUCUGGAUAACCGCAUGAAAGUGUGGCUAAUACGGGAUAUUCUGGGUCUGUCGCAUGAUGGGUCUGGGAAAGAUAUUGUUUCGGUGGGGGAUGGGCUCGCGGCCUAUCAGCUUGUUGGUGGGGUGAUGGCCUACCAAGGCGGUGACGGGUAGCCGGCCUGAGAGGGUGGACGGUCACACUGGGACUGAGACACGGCCCAGACUCCUACGGGAGGCAGCAGUGGGGAAUAUUGCACAAUGGGCGCAAGCCUGAUGCAGCGACGCCGCGUGAGGGGUGGAGGCCUUCGGGUUGUGAACCUCUUUCGCCAGUGAAGCAGGCCUGCCUCGUUUGUGGGUGGGUUGACGGUAGCUGGAGAAGAAGCGCCGGCUAACUACGUA